Molecule: RNA transcript, 944 nt
Organism: Myotis lucifugus (little brown bat)
Lineage: Eukaryota; Metazoa; Chordata; Mammalia; Chiroptera; Vespertilionidae
Gene: SNRNP27
Gene name: small nuclear ribonucleoprotein U4/U6.U5 subunit 27
Exons: 8
Source: RefSeq, a predicted model, not a curated record
GUUUCAACGUUUUCCAGUCGGCAGUGAAAGCGCACUUCCGGCCUUCACGGAAGUUGUUGCACAGUCGUUUCCGAGGCGGUGUGAGGUAGAGGAGCUUUCCAAAUGGGUCGUAGCCGCUCCCGAUCUCCGCGGAGGGAACGCAGGCGGUCCCGGUCCACUUCCCGGGAGAGAGAACGCAGGCGCCGGGAAAGGUCUCGGUCCAGGGAGAGAGAUCGGAGAAGGAGCCGCUCUCGAUCCCCGCACAGAAGACGCUCCAGAUCCCCAAGACGACAUAGAUCCACAUCUCCUUCUCCUUCUCGACUGAAAGAAAGAAGAGAUGAGGAAAAGAAAGAAACAAAGAGCAAAGAACGUCAGAUAACUGAGGAAGACUUAGAGGGAAAAACAGAAGAAGAAAUAGAAAUGAUGAAGAUAAUGGGAUUUGCCUCCUUUGACUCAACAAAAAAAGUGCUGCUGAAAGUUAUCGUAUACUUCAGGAAGCUUAUGGUGAACAUGCUCCAUCUCAAGAUACUUGUUCUUGGGAGGUCAAAAUCCUGCACCUCAAGGAAAAAAGUUGGAUGGUUCUGUAAAUGCCUAUGCCAUAAAUGUGUCUCAGAAGAGGAAGUACAGGCAGUACAUGAAUCGCAAAGGUGGAUUCAACAGACCUUUGGAUUUCAUUGCGUGAGAAUUGAAAUGUUGAAGAAUGAUUUUUUUUCCCCCUCAUCAUGAUCAGAAGAGUGGAUUUUGUAUUUUGUAUUUCAUAUGCAUCAAAACAGGACAGGAUCACAGCCCUUUCUUCUUGUAAAGAAGUAUCAUUUGGGGCAAUCAUCAACCCCAUUUUUUGUCUUAUUCCUGUGGAAGCUGUAUAUGUUUUCUUCUUGGAUGCUCGUUAGGACUUUUUAAAAUACAUAAAAAAGUAAUUUGGAUGUAAGUGUCUCAAAUAAAGCAAUUAUUUCUACCUCUCUGUA